GGAGAGGAUAUGGGAUCUUUAUCCUAAAAGCAAAUUUCAGGAGUCUUUUAUAGCCAAUACUAAAAUAUUCAAUAGAAUUUCCAAAGCUUGUAUUAAUUAGCAGAAACGUCUGUUGUAGCCAAUGCCCUGUGGCCACAUGGAUCUUGGGGUAUAAUAUUCACAUUUUCUCUGAGAUAGGCCCUUAUGUGGUUAUAUUUUAGUCCACUAGAUAACUACAAAUAUUAAAAAGCAAAGGAUUGAGUUACCGACCAUGGAGCGGAAGAAAUGAGAUAGGCCUUGUCCGUUCGACAAUUAAUUUGGGUAAGCUCUGGACGAUGUUUGUAUGCACCACUGGCUGU
Molecule: unclassified non-coding RNA, 338 nt
Filed under: Hevea brasiliensis (rubber tree)
Lineage: Eukaryota; Viridiplantae; Streptophyta; Magnoliopsida; Malpighiales; Euphorbiaceae
Source: RNAcentral